Molecule: long non-coding RNA, 2088 nt
Filed under: Homo sapiens (human)
Lineage: Eukaryota; Metazoa; Chordata; Mammalia; Primates; Hominidae
Description: novel transcript
Source: RNAcentral
GAUUCCACUGGGCGCUAUAGGCAGGGCGCACUCACCGAACUCCCCAAUCCCUUCCAGCCUCAGAGCCCGCCUGGCAGGACUACUGAGCAAGGCCUUGGAAAAUCGGAGCGAUUAGAGCGGUUCAAACAAUACAGAAGUGUAUAAAGUAAGAAUUGAAAGUCUCUUCGCUGCUCUAAUCUCACUCCUCAGAGGUGAUCACUGGACCUGAGUGAGCAGAAGGCUUUUCAGAAUUACAGCCUGAACUAUUUCUUGAGCAAUUUGGGAACUCAUUUCUAAAGCAGUCCUCAGAUUCACACAACGUAGUUUGUGACGGAGUAUGCCCAGAGCAGGUAGGAAAGGCAAAACAGCAUUUUGACACUGAGGGAUUUAGCAGAAAGAUCUGACCCAACAAGUAAAAACUCUUUUAAAGGUUCAGUCAAAUUUAUUCUCAUCACACUCCUCUGGAAUGCCCAACAGGCACAUGUUUUGUCAAUGAAAAUUGUUUUCAAUCUCAUUGAUGUUUUGUUUGGCAAGAACCAUUUCUUUCAACAAUUUCUUAUUAAUCAUCUAUAAUUUUUCACUUCUGACAGUGUUAUCACCAGUGCUUUCAGUAACUGCAUACUUAUAAAACAGCCAAACUUCAACCUGUGUUCAGUUUUUAUCUGUUUCUUGGGAAUGUAAUUUGGACAAAAAAGUUACCAAUGUAUUUACAACCAAAUUUCAGAUCUUCAACAUUACAGAGGGUAAGAAAUGUGAACACAAUGGAAUUCUUCUAUCAUCCUUAUUUUGUGAGAUCUAAUUAGUGUAUACUCACCUUCCCAGUAAUGUCAUGUUAGCUUUCUCCCUGUCUUUGUGGCUUGUAGAUUUCUGUCUCCAGGGGCAUGGUUUGCAUUGUGGUGAUCCAGAUAUGGAUAAGGCAACAUCCAGUGUCUUAAUAGGGUCCUGCCUUCCAAACAAAUAAUUCACUGUGGCUCUAAGAUUGUGUCUUUCUGCAUAUGCCAACUGAAGCUGUUUUAGCCAAACUACCUUCUACAUAGGCCUAGUGAAAAUACCUUCAGGGCUAGAUGAAGGUGUUUGGCAUGCUUUUUCUUCCAUGGUGGGGGCAACAUUGGGCAGUGCUGCCUUCCUGGCUGUGAGCAGCUUGUGGGUCCCCAGGGACCAUUUCACUGGACUUCAGCUUAAACAUUGUUUAUACAUGGCCAUCGAUUUCCUUUACCAAGAGCUGCCAAUCCAAUGGCAUUAGCCACACCUGCCAUGCACUUCCACCCCUCCUCAACCAGGUGGUAAGCACAGGAGACGAACUGGUGUUAGGAGAAAAAGCCAUACCGAUGGUCCAGUGCAGUGGGAUAGCCAGGAAACUUGUUAGAAAUUCAAUUCCCUGGCCCCACCCUACAUCUCUGGGUGAUUUGGAUAUAGGCCAUAACAUUUGAGAACUGCUGCUCUGGCUUAAUACAUCAGAAUCUUCCACUUUAUUAUUUUAUUUCCAUAUUUGUAUAUUCCUCUCUUCCCCUUUGACAUUUUCUGUCAUGGUUUUGCUUUCUAAAUGUCUUUAAGCUGUCUUGUUGAUGGGGGUGCACCCUGACGAAUGGUGUGCUGGCAAAGAUUUAACAAAAGGCUCCAGAGGAGGGCAGACUUGAAGUGGAGCCUUCAGUGGGCAGUGUGAAGGGUGCUGAUUUCAAACAACUCAUCUGGUAUGACUGAACAUGAAGUUGGGAAGAGAUGUGCAUAAUUGAAGUGGGUGAGAGCCAGUCCAGCACCCUGCAGAGAGGUAACAAUAAUUUUGUAGGUACUUCCUCAAAUUUAACUCAAUGGAGGUUUAGAUUGGGUUUAGAUUGAGUCAUUAGUUGCAGGUCAUUUGUUGAAUCAUUGAAUACUUUUGGUUGUUAAGGUGACUGAAAUACUCAGUUGAUGUCCUUUAAGAUCACUGAAAAUAUUUAAAAUCAGCUUACAUAUGGUAUUUUGGAAAUGCCACAUACGUAAUGGAUUAAAACCCACAACUAUAUUUGCUGCCUUUCCUAUGCAUGUCCUGUCAAAAUUAUUUUUUGGUGGACUAUAAGCCCUAAAACAACAUGGACCUUGUUUUCCUCUCCAUUAUAUUCUCAUUACUUA